GAGGGUAUGGGGCAGUUUUCAAAGGGUAUGGUCUCCAAAUCCUAUCUUCUAUAUGUGUCUGAGCUUAAAUGUUGGUGAAAGUUAUGAGUUCCAAGGAGAUCACCGGGAACUAGCUACUCCGGAAGCGACAUGGGAGUUCCCGGCAUCCAUGGCAAUGCGGAGAACAUCACGGUACCAUGGUCAUUGUGUACGGUAGAGAACAACAAACGGUUUCUAAGAAUUUUAAAAAGGGGCUAUCGGAUUAAGCCGGGUUUACUGGGUGGGGGAAGGUGGUUUCGUAAUACAUUGACUUAGAAGCUUUUGUUCGAUUUGGGCUUGUAAGU
This 323-nucleotide long non-coding RNA is filed under the name Brassica napus (rape). RNAcentral describes it as "long non-coding RNA (BNAP_LNC018648)". Lineage: Eukaryota; Viridiplantae; Streptophyta; Magnoliopsida; Brassicales; Brassicaceae. The record is from RNAcentral.